AUGGAUUUGCUCUUAGUUGGUACAGGAACAUCAUACCAGUCACACUCGAACAAUGUGACUUCAUGCUGGUUAGGAAAAUCAAGGAUGAUGAUUUUUUUAAUCACUCCAUGCCAUCAUUGCCCUUGACGACAACACCACUAUUCUGUGUUGAUAGAUUUUUCUCUACAUCUGAUGUCCGGAAGAAAAACCCAUUGAUGGAACACCUGUUCCUCACACUAACUAUUUGUUCUAGACCACGAGACAAAGAAUAAAUCAUUUCAUCUACUUUUCCCUGUGC
RNAcentral lists this long non-coding RNA (277 nucleotides) under Setaria viridis. RNAcentral's name for it is "long non-coding RNA (SVIR_LNC010562)". Lineage: Eukaryota; Viridiplantae; Streptophyta; Magnoliopsida; Poales; Poaceae. The record is from RNAcentral.